This 811-nucleotide ribosomal RNA is filed under the name uncultured bacterium. RNAcentral's name for it is "bacterial SSU rRNA". It matches the Rfam family "Bacterial small subunit ribosomal RNA", at positions 8 to 796 of the family's 1533-position model. The record is from RNAcentral.
AGAGUUUGAUCAUGGCUCAGAACGAACGCUGGCGGCGUGCUUAACACAUGCAAGUCUUACGGGAAAGUUUUCUUCGGAGAGCGAGUACAGUGGCGCACGGGUGAGUAACGCGUGGGUAACCUACCCUUCAGUCUGGAAUAACAUUUCGAAAGGGAUGCUAAUACCGGAUACGUUCAUGGCGGCUUUGGCCGUUAUGAAGAAAGAUGGCCUCUAUACUAUGCUGUCGCUGAUGGAUGGGCCCGCGUACCAUUAGCUUGUUGGUAGGGUAACGGCCUACCAAGGCAACGAUGGUUAGCUGGUCUGAGAGGAUGAUCAGCCACACUGGUACUGGAACACGGACCAGACUCCUACGGGAGGCAGCAGUGGGGAAUAUUGCGCAAUGGGGGAAACCCUGACGCAGCAACGCCGCGUGAGUGAUGAAGGCCUUCGGGUCGUAAAGCUCUGUCAGAGGGAAAGAAGGCACCGAGGUUAAUACCCUUGAAUGCUUGACGGUACCCUCAAAGGAAGCACCGGCUAACUCCGUGCCAGCAGCCGCGGUAAUACGGAGGGUGCAAGCGUUGUUCGGAAUCACUGGGCGUAAAGGGCGCGUAGGCUGCCGCUUAAGUCAGAUGUGAAAUCCCACGGCUUAACCGUGGAACUGCAUUUGAAACUGGGUGGCUUGAGUACGGGAGAGGGAAGUGGAAUUCCAGGUGUAGAGGUGAAAUUCGUAGAUAUCUGGAGGAACACCAGUGGCGAAGGCGGCUUCCUGGACCGAUACUGAGCUGAGGGCGAAAGCGUGGGUAGCAAACAGGAUUAGAUACCCUAGUAGUCC